AGAGUUUGAUCCUGGCUCAGGAUGAACGCUAGCUAUAGGCUUAACACAUGCAAGUCGAGGGGCAGCGAAUAGAUAGCUUGCUAUUUAUGUCGGCGACCGGCGCACGGGUGAGUAACGCGUAUCCAACCUGCCCAUAACUAAGGGAUAACCCAGCGAAAGUUGGACUAAUACCUUAUGUAUUCGUUUGAUCUCAUGAGAUUACGAAUAAAGAUUUAUCGGUUAUGGAUGGGGAUGCGUCUGAUUAGCUUGUUGGCGGGGUAACGGCCCACCAAGGCAACGAUCAGUAGGGGUUCUGAGAGGAAGGUCCCCCACAUUGGAACUGAGACACGGUCCAAACUCCUACGGGAGGCAGCAGUGAGGAAUAUUGGUCAAUGGACGCAAGUCUGAACCAGCCAAGUAGCGUACAGGAUGACGGCCCUAUGGGUUGUAAACUGCUUUUAUAUGGGGAUAAAGUGGGGAACGUGUUCCCUUUUGCAGGUACCAUAUGAAUAAGGACCGGCUAAUUCCGUG
This 510-nucleotide ribosomal RNA is filed under the name uncultured Prevotella sp. Its description in RNAcentral is "bacterial SSU rRNA". It matches the Rfam family "Bacterial small subunit ribosomal RNA", at positions 8 to 507 of the family's 1533-position model. Lineage: Bacteria; Pseudomonadati; Bacteroidota; Bacteroidia; Bacteroidales; Prevotellaceae. The record is from RNAcentral.